Molecule: long non-coding RNA, 14072 nt
Filed under: Populus tremula
Lineage: Eukaryota; Viridiplantae; Streptophyta; Magnoliopsida; Malpighiales; Salicaceae
Description: long non-coding RNA (PTRE_LNC002213)
Source: RNAcentral
UGAUUUGUCGUUAGAAAAGGAAAAGAAAGAAAAACAAAAAAGAUAGGUAGCAGUCCCAUGAGAACAAUCAAGAAUAGAGGAUGCAAUAAAAGAAGUAAAAGAGAAAUUGAGUGAAAAAUCAAAUAAAGGGCUAAGAAAAUGACCUCAAUUUGAUCACCAAUGUGAAUGAUCAAGGCAUCAGGAAUAUACUUAGCUUCAAUCCACUGGUCAUCCUUGAAGAUUUGCAAUCCGGGGACCUCAUUUUGCAUGUCCUUGUCCUGUUGCUCUAUUGAGGUCCGAUCAGCUUCUGGUCCAUUUAUACUUGCCAGCGAAAACUCUUCUGGAGGUGUAAAUUUAUUGCAUGUCUCUUCAUCUGAUUCUUCAGUGCCUCAUGUAUCCAUUAAGUAUUUAAUUGUGGUAAGCAGGGGGCUAAAACCUGGCUUCAUUUCCAUGACUAAUAUAUCAAAUUCCUCUCCGUCUAGAAUCAAUGAAAGCUGUUUAUUUAAAGUCGUGAAAGAGGUUGUGCUCAGAAGCACCUUGACUCCCAUAAGUGAACCUUGACUCACACUUGUAAUGUCAUAACCAAUCAUCUUGCCUACAUCUUCUACCAUGGAUUCAAUACAUCUACGGUUCCAUCCAAUCAGAGGAAGUCCCAGAAUAGACACCCAAACAAAUCUAUCUAUUGCUUUUACUUCCCUUUUCCAUGGUUUGAUACUAGAGAAGUAGUUUGCCAAGGCAAAGCUACUGUUUAUUAAUUCUUUCUCCAUGGUCUCUUUGUCUGUAAAGGUGAUAACUACUUGGCUUGCUCCCAGGAAGCGAAAUCCAAUUGCCUUAACAAUUUUCAAAACCAUAUGCUCUAGUUAUGCAUAGUCCACUUAUGUGGCUAUAGAACCGACUAAACUUCUCAAUAGCCAUUCCUUGUCAUCCUGUGUAGACUCAUACACCACAGUCUUCUUUGAUGGUUGUUGGACCAAAAGAGCUUCAACAAAGGUCCUGUUGUCUCCGAGGGCUAGUUUGGGCAAGAUUUUGGUUUCUAGGUUUGUGGUGAGGGCUGUCUUUUCCUUGGAAUCUGUAGGUGUUUGAAAUCUUGCUAGGCUUGCAUGAAUUUUGAAAAAGUCAAACCAUAUAAGGUUUAAUCUGUCAUAAAGGUCUGCAUAUUCUAAAUAGAAGAAGAAAGAUACAAAACCAAACCGUCUCCCUCGUUUUGUUUUUUUCCUGGAAACAAAGAGGUUGGUGAUAGGACUAAUCUUUGAAAAAGCCUUUUUGAAAUCUUGGUAAUCAAGCCAAAACAGGAAUCGUUCAAAACAAAACUUAGUAGAGACAGAGGGAGUGGGAGUUGUGUUAGGUAAGUGUUUGUUGUUUUGGCUGUUGUUUGUGUAACACAUAGGUUGCAAAAAGUUUAGGAUGGCAGGGUGAAGAGGGGGGUGUUGUGUAUGCUUAAGAGGGACAAUUGCAGGUGUUUGUGGGGUUGGAUUGUAAUGGGGAGGUUUGAAAAAGGUUGUUAAGACCUGGGUUGCAAGGGAGGUGAUGAUAGAUAAAAGGGGAGGUUUUUUUGUUGGGAGCAUCGUUGCAGGCUUACAAGUACAUCCUUUUCAAGGAUGUAUGGAACAUUCAUUCAAGUAAUAAGAAAUUAUCAAACACCUUUUAGAACUUUCUGAAUCUGUUUUUCUUUCUCUUCUUGACUUAUAUCAUCAAUGAUAUAUAACAUCCAUUUAUUAUUAUCUUUUUGUCCAAUCGUUAUAUAUUUUAGAAGGGUCCCGUUUAAUUUUACAGCAAAAAAGCUUCGACGAUUCAUCUACAUAAUAGAAACAACAGAUGCUAGUCAUGAAUACCAAUAAAGUGUUGGUCUAGCAGUUAAGACAUGCUAUAUCUCUAUAAGGGUGAGAAUACAAGUUUAAUUUCUAAAAAGCGCACUUUUUAGGAGGGGCAACCAUGAAUCCCGAACGAGACUAGUCUCACCCUUUAAAAAAAAAUAUUAAUCAUGAAUUUAAAUUUCAAUCCAACAUAGAAGGAUUAUAGGUAAUCACAAAUUAGUCGUAUUUUGUUAUUUCCGUAAUCAACUAUUAAAUCUAUCAACGUUAACCAUAGCAAAUAGAUUGUUUCACAUUCUAACAAACAAAUGCUAGGUUCCAUCCUAGGUUUAUGAAUGUGGUUUGAAAAUAUCUAUUUUAUAAAAAAGUAGUUUUAGUUGAGGUUGGUUUGAUAAAAUAUAUGUUUGGUUAAAAUUGUGGUUGAAAUUAAAGUUGAAAAAAAUAAUAAUUUAAUUUGUUUGGUUAAAAAUACUUUUUAAAUUGAGGUUAUAAAAUGACUAAAAAAACAUAUAUUAAUAUUAAUGGUUUUUAAUUAAAAAAUUUUAGAUUUAACUACUACACAUCAUGAAAAUAAACAAUACUUGAUACAAAAUAUUUUUUAUUGCUCCAUUACACUAUUUGUAAUUCCAUCACGUACGAAAUCCAUUUGACUAGGCCUCGAGGUACCAUGGCUUCUUGAGUGUGCAGCAACAUCAGGUCAAAUAUCAUCAGGAAUAAAAUUGAAAUUGCGAUUAAAUUCUACAAAUGCUAUGUCAUCAUGUCAUUUUCUUCUAAUGUAAUUAUGUAGUGUCAUUGAUGCCACUACAAUUGUCAACUUGCGUUUUGUAUGGAUAAGCAGGCAUGUUUUGUAAAAUCCUCCAUCUCUGUUUCCAUACUUCAAAAGAAUAUUAUAUCACAUUAUGUAGCAAUGAGUAUGCAUGAUUAAAAACUUCUUAUUAAUUUUUUAAUUGUUCAUGAUGUCUAAAAUUACAUAAGAAUGAAGAUAAAAAAAAUAUAAUGAUAAAUAAGUUAAGUGAAAAGUGAUAUAUAUAUAUAUAUAUACAAGAGAAAUUUAUUUUUCAAUAAAACCCAAAAAUUACAGAUUUACUAAAAAAAAUUCAAUUAGACCAUUUUUAUAGUAUUUGUAUAAUAGUAAUAAUAAUUAAUUUAUGCAUCAUGAUGCUACAGGAGAGUGAAAAUAAUUAAUUCAAAAUGGUUGUUUGCCUUGGUCACAGGCUCCAAUACUUCCACGUUAUCUUAAGCAGCACUUUUAUUUAACCACAGGUGCAGCCAGAUUAUGAUGGGCCCCAUCAUAAUAAAAGCUGAUUGUAGCAUAACCAAACAUAUAAAAAUUAUAGCUUACUUUAACCUUAAACGUAGCCCGCACUACCAAACUACACUGCGCAGUAAUGUGCUUGCUUGGGACCGACCACGAUAUUGGAAAAUAACUAAUAAAUAUAUAAUCAUAUUCUAAUAUAAAAUAGCUGUGACAAAUUAGAACUCUCAAUUAAAGUUGUCAUUUCGAUAAAUAUUUUAUUUUUUUAAUUAAAAUAAAAUGUUUUAGUUUUGGAGUGUUUCGGCGUGCCGUUUCGGGUUGUACUGUUCAUAUAUAUAUAUUCAACAAACAUAAUUCAAAUUCAAGAUAAAUUAAUUAUAAAUUAUACAAUACAAACACAAUACCAAACAAAUAUAAUUUCAAAAUUUAAAAUAUUUCUAAAUAGUCAAGAUUAAAUAGAUCUUUAACUUAAAGUAAUUCAACUUAAACAAAAUAUCAAAAUAUUAUGAAAGUAAAAUGUUUUAACAAAAAUAUUUUAAAUAUAAAGUUAGGUCAAUGUUAUCAAGGCUAAUGGAAUCUAAAGCAUCAUUUGUUUUGCUCAAAUUCCUACGAAGUAUAAACAUGAAAAAAGCAACAUGAAUAUAAACCAUAUAUAUUAAUGAUAAAUCUAAUUUUAACAUUGUUAAUGAAAAUAGUAAUAAUAAUUUUUAAUAUUAUUUUUAAUAUCAUUGUUAUUGAAAAUAGUAAUGAAAAAGAGUUUUUUAUAAUUGGGUGGUUUAAUUAAUUAAAUUAAACAAGGUUCAAUUUGAUUCAGUGGCUUUUCAAGAGUGGAACGGAACAUGUGGAAUGAAAUCGGAACGUUCUGGACGGAAUUUAGCCGAAAAAUCCAGAACGAGCCGAGAUUUAAAAUGAGAUGAAAUUUAUUCCGUUUUUUGAAUUGGUAUGAAUGUUUCGGCCAUUCCAGAUGAAAUGGAACGGAAUUGACAACCUUGCUCUCAACUUAAGUUGCUGACUUCAAUGUUGUUUCUGCCACAUAUAAAGUCUCUUAAAUCUAGACUUUUUUUCUCCAUUUCCUUGUAGGAAACUUCUUUUUUCUUCCUGUCGAUUUGCCUCAAGAAAACCGCCUCUGGUUGCCAAUUUAUUGCUGCUUGAAUUUCUACUGCUAUCCAUCUUGGUUGUUGUUGAUUUAUACAUGGUUCUCAUCAAUAUCUCGUAACAUGUGUGAAUUUAAGAAAAAUAUAAUGUUUUGUAUAUAAUUAGUGAGAUAAUGUUUUUUAUACACCAUUGCUUUAUAAUUGAAGGAAUUGUGUGCUUUUUUUCUUUUGUUUCAAAUAUUAAAAAAUAAUACUAGUUUUUUGUCGUUUUUUUUUUUAAAAAUUGAUAUAUAUGGAGUAUAUAUAUGCAAUCUAUCUUUCGCAGAACUACAAAAAUAAACUUAAUUUUUGUGAGCCAAAUUGAAUCGGUAUCACCUAGCUUUAUUACCUUCCUAUUCAUAAAAAACUAAAAUAGUAAAAUUGCACUCGAGAAAACAAGAAGAAAAGAUUCCCAACAGGGUUUUGGCCACAAAAUUAAAAAUAGCAGGUCCAUAAUAUUAUCAUCACAGAGAGCACACCAUUAUUCCGAGUGCUAAAUCAAGGGGGAUCUCUAAAGCAAGACCUCAUAAAGUAAUACCAAGUUAAAUGCAUAUGAAAUUCAUGGAAGGCUUAUGGGCAGUGACAUCUCCCAAGUCCUCACUACUGGGGAAGCUUGUUGAGUUUACAGUACGUGUAAUCCUUGAAUUUUUUGGUCUUGAACUUUGGAGGAUUGUCGUUGUUAAUGAAUUGAGGAAGAGGACCCACCACAAGCUCGCCUGGUGGCUCCAAGAAAACUGGCCAUGACAUUCUAGCCCUAUCUUUAGCCACCGUGGUUCGAUGCAAAACAGCCUUGUACUUCCCAUUGCUAAGGAUCUGCAUUCCAAUUGCCGAGUGUACAUGUAGUUGACAAAUUUUAGUAAACAUCAACACUAAGUCAAGAGAAAUUAUACAGAUAGCAUUUAAAUGAUAGUCCCCGUAAUAAUUACCAGACCCGACUAGGAAUUGACCUGGCACCAAUAAACUAUUAAUUAAAAAAAUUUCAAAAAAAUAUAUUUAAAAUUUUAAUAUUUUAUAUGAAAAAAUUAAGAAAUAAUUCUUAUAAAUAUAUGCUAGAUAUGUUAUAAAUAAUGAAGAUUAAGAGAUUGUUUUAAAAUAUUUUUUUAUCCCACAUUGAAAAGAUAUUAUGUUAUCCUUUUAAGUUGAAAUAUUUAAACCAAAUUUUUUUUUAUUUCACAUUGAAAAAUAUAACUUUUUUUCUUGUGAACAUAGAAUAUAUAUACUAAAACGCUUCAAAUUCUACAUUGAAAAAAUAAAAUAUUUUUCUAAUAUUUAUAUAGUGAACUUUGAAAAGGGUUAACAACCAACUAAAAAAUAUAAAAAAAGAUGAGUAUUUGGUUAGGAGAAAAAACACAUUUUAAAAAAAAAAAGUUUUGUUAGGUCGCCCAAAUCACAGAUCAACCCGAUAGUUCAACCAGGUUUUUUCAAAUGAUGCCAACUUUUUUGUAGUUAAUUUCAUGAGUAGACCGAUAGUAAACUUUUUUGCAGUGACACUACUUUAUACCUAAAAAAGAACUAAGUAUUAGGAGCAAAUGAUGUAUCAUAAAACAUAGCCAUGUUAAUUAGGUAUGUGCCCACACCCGUCUUUUGCUUUAAUAGCAACAAGUUAUUGCUUACAACCAGUUGGCAUUUAGUGGAGGAGGAGUUAAUGAAGCCUUUAUGAGGAGUCCAUCCUUCAUUUAUUUGAUUUGUCGUUAGAAAAGGAAAAGAAAGAAAAACAAAAAAGAUAGGUAGCAGUCCCAUGAGAACAAUCAAGAAUAGAGGAUGCAAUAAAAGAAGUAAAAGAGAAAUUGAGUGAAAAAUCAAAUAAAGGGCUAAGAAAAUGACCUCAAUUUGAUCACCAAUGUGAAUGAUCAAGGCAUCAGGAAUAUACUUAGCUUCAAUCCACUGGUCAUCCUUGAAGAUUUGCAAUCCGGGGACCUCAUUAGGCACAAGAAUGGUGAUGGCAGAUAGAUCAGUAUGAGCCACUACCCCAAGUGUUAGGUCUGGACGUGGGCAUGGUGGAUAGUAAUUUAUUUUGAGCAUGUAUUCAAUUUGUUCACCUCCGGCAGCUUCUUUCAACACAUGCCCUUCAAGCCCUAACCCUAAAGAGAGGGUUGUGAAUAGCUUGUCCACCACAUCUCUCAUACACUUAGCAUACUCCUUGGUAACUUCUCUGCUCAUAGAAAAAUAUUAUCAUUUAGUCAAAGGGACGAAUCAAGGGUUGGAAAAGUUGGAGGGUCAAAAUGUGUAGUUUUAGUGUCAGCGGUGGCACAUUUCGUGUAAAUGUUCUAAGAUUUUGUAUGAUAUUUUGAAAAAGUUUGAGACAUGCAACCACCUAAACUCUCCUUUCUGAUGGUUAAGAAAUUGAUAAUAAUAAUAAAACUAUAUAUUUUUAGGAGCAUAUUUCUUAAACUGGGUAGUUAAUCUAAAAAAUUCUCAAUUCUAAGCUCUUAAUUUUAGUUUAAAUUUUUAGUUAAGUCGAAUCAGAUAUUAACAGGCUAAAUUUAGUUAUUGAACUCUAACUAAGAUUUUAAUGAUCUAAUUUAUCUGAUCAAAAACUUAAUAUAAAUAUAAUCAAAUCAAUACAAAGUUUUUUUAAAAAAAUAAAAAAACAAUUUUUUAUUAAAAAAAUUAACUCAUGAUUCAAAUCUAGCCUCAUAAUUAUCAGUACUUAUGAACUAAAUCAGUGGUUCAUAUUACGCUGUAGGUCAAAAUAAAAAACAAUUAAUGUGCUAAUUUUUUUCUAGUAAAAUGUUUUUAUUAAAAAGAAAUUAUAUAGAAAUUGAUUCGAUACGACUUAGUCAACCUAAAUAUCUAGUUAAAAUUUAGUUUAUCUUAAAAUAAAUAUUGAAUAUGAGAUUUUAUAUUAAUGUUAAUUAACUAGGAAGCAUGGUCAUGUCUAGAAUUACAGUUCGGUCCUCACUACCCAAGUAUUCCUAAAUCCUUUAUGGUGUCAAGUUUAGGGUUUUGAGACUCGAUUUAAUAAUCUACAAAACGGUUUCUGUAUCUUGUUGCAAACAGUUUCAAGCAGCUGAGGAUUACUUGUGUUAUCAAAAGAAACGGUAUCCCCCAAAGUGGAAAGUGAGGCAUCUAGGACUGUGGAAACCAUGGGUAGCCCCAAAUGACCCCUCAAAGUCGAAACAAAAUAUGUUAAUUUCUAACUAAUUAGGUUCCUACAAAAGUUUUUGGUUGUUUAAUUUCAUGUGCGCUGACUACUGAUAUUAUCUGUCCCCCUUCGCAAGAACUUGGAUUUAGUCCUUACGUGGGAGUACUUGUGUCUUAUGCAGCACAUUUUUUUUUUAUUUUUUUACCCAAUUUAAAUGGUAGAAAACAGACCUGUAAGAAGGAGGGUUUUCGGGCCAGAACUGGUAAUUGAUGGAAGGAGGAGGCCAUAUCCUAUGAAAGAGAUGAUCAACCCAAGAUUUUUUUUCUUGGGGAUCUUUCUGCAAUUUGGAACCAUAGCCUUCGAUGCUUUUUGAAUCACGAGGCCUAGCACACACCUCUUUCUCUUCCUGAGGGAGUUCGAAGAAUUUCUUACCAACACCCUGCAGUUCGGCAAUAAGAUCACUUGGAAUUCCAUGGUUUAUAACCUGGAAUAUCCCCCAUUCCUUGCUAGCAUCCGCAAUCAAAGCCACUAAUUUCUCUUGAUCAGGGUCACUGAGAUCAAUGGCUGGAAUCUCAGGGGCUACACCACGAAAUGUGGUUAUUGCUGGCUGCUCUUUCUCUGGCCUGAUGAAUUCUUGAGGAAUCGCUUCCUUGUCAAAUGACAAAGAAGCGAUGGUUUGAACUCUAUCAAACUCCAUCCUGAAGGUUGUCUUCUUGUUUCUUAAUUUCUCUUCAAAGCAAAAUAAACUGCCCUCAAUAUAUAGAGAGAGACUUGAGUUACGAGCAUGCAUGUAAUUAAAGUGUCUGUAAUUUAUUAUAGGUAGGGCAGUAUGAUCACAUGAUUCACCGAUUAGGUUGGAUUAUUAUUAUGAUUAACUCAAGAAAACACAUGUGGGAUGCUGGUUGGUUGAGAAAUCCAAAUCAAAUUUAACACAUUUAUCUUUAGCAAAGAUUAAGAGUUGUGAAAUUGGAGGAAAGAACUAAAUCAGCCGCUAAUCAGAACCACCACCGCACACAAAUGAUCAAUGAAUAAAUCUUACCAUUUUUUAUUUUAUUUUGAGCGGCAUCGAUUGUUUCGUUUUUAGGUUGGUAGAUCCAACGUCAAUUUAGCCAGGAGGUUUUUGAGAUGACAGAAUCCGAGAAAGUGUACAAAUCUCUAGAUUUUUUAGUUUUGAAUUAUCAUCUAUUCAUCAUCAAAUUCUAGUACAAGCAAAUUUCUAGCCUCACAUUCCUAGAAACAAAAACUCUAAGCUAACGUGGACGUUCCACAUCUUCUUCUUUUUAUUCUGAGAAUGUCUGAAUUGUAAAUUAAUGCACCGUUGGCAACCUUGUUUCAGACCAUGGAAGAUAAUCAUUGAGACAGAGUUCACGUGGCUAUGUAUGAACUUUUCGUUUUCAAACUUCUUUACAAGUUUUUAUUUUAUUUUAUAAAUACUAAAUUAAUAUAUAUAUAUAUAUAUAUAUAUUAUUUUUUAGAUGAUGAUAUAAAAAAUAAAAAAUAUAUUAUUUUAAAAUAUUUUCAAUUAAAAAUCACUUUUAAAAAUAUCUUACACAAUAUUACUAAACAAAUACUAAAACUUAUCAUAUUUCCACACAUAUAUAUACAUGCGAACCACAUACCCUACUUCUUCUAAUCACGUAAGGAGGGCUCUACCCCUAUCUAAAACAAGACAAUAAUCAAAUGGAAAUAGAUUGUGUUAGAUUUGAUAGAUCUAAGCAUGUUUUUAGAAUAAUUUGUAUUUAGAUUUAAUGUGGAAAAAAUAAAUAGAUCUUGAUAUACCUCCCGUUAUUGAUGAAAAAUACUCAGGUUUUUUUUAAAGGUUUUGGUAUUUCUAAUCUCUAGCACGCACAAAUCUAAUGGUGUAUUUUUAAGGCAAAAGUUUGUAUAUUAGUGUGUAAGCCUAGGAAUCAAAAGCAUGUAUUUAUAUAGCAGAAGUCUUAUUAACUUUUAAUUGAUAUAACUUUAUUGCAAUUGAAGAUGAGAGUUAAUUUAUUAUUGGACUAAAAGUUAAAAUUCUUGAAAAAAUUGAAUCUCACAUGGAUAUAAUACAACAUAACUUUAACAUUCUUCCACUUAAUUAAUAUAUUUAACUCAAUCUCUUAACUUAAGCAUAUCCUUUAUCUUUCUUGGAAAACAAAUGCAUGAAUCAUGAUGAUAAGUCCUCUAAUCAUGAGUAUUGCACUCCAUGUAUUACAAUGCAUAUAAUUUCUCAAAUAUUAUUCUAUAUGUGUUAAUCUCACUUAAUGAAUAAACCUUAUAUUUAUUCUUGGUCCUAUAUAAAUGAGUUUUCUCAAAUAAAUUUCAAAUAAAUUAAGGUACACAUAAAUAUUAGAAAAUAUCACAACAAAUAGAACUUCUUUUCUUUAACACAUUCUCUUAUUACUAAAUAUUUGAUGUUGAUAUGUUUACUUCACCUGCCACUUUUGUUGUUUUUAGCCAUAAAAACAUCUAAAUUGUCACAAUAUAUUCUUAAUAGCUUUGAAAUAGAAUCUAUAAUUUUAAUCCUAGAUAUUAAACUUUUAAAAAAUACACCAUGUGCAAUAGCCUAAAAAUAAGAAAUGAACUCAGCUUUCAUAGUGGAAAUAGUAGUCAAAUUCUACUUAACACUUCUACAAGAUACAACUCCAUUGGCCAAUAUAAAAAUAUAUCCUGAUGUUGCUUUGCAUGAAUCAACAUAAAAAACAAAGUUUGAAUCUGAUUAGCCACUUACUUUCAGAUUGUCUGUAUAUCUAUACAUAAGUAUAUAGUAUUUGGUCCUUUGAAGUUACCUUAUUACUUUCUGUACAACUCUCUAGUGGUCUAUACUUGGAUUGCUUUAAAAUUAUCAUAACAUUCCCACAACAAAUAUAAUGUCAUGCCUUGUAUGGAUCUAAGUAGUAUACAUUAAGCUUCCUAUAACAAAAACAUAUGGAAUGUUCUUCAUUUGUUCCCUUUCAAGAUUAUUUUCGUGCAUUGAUUCAAAUUAAACUUAUCUCCCUUAACAAUCGAAGCAACACUUUGUAAACAAUCUUUCAUCUAAAAUCUCUUUACAACUUUAUUGAUAUAGAUUUUUUGAAACAAAUCUCAUAUGCGUUUAAAUCUUCUUUGUAUAUCUUAAUGUAAACGACAUAAAAUACCUCACCUAUAUCCUUCAUGUCAAAGCUCUUAUAAAGAAAUUGUUUCGCCUCAUGUAACAACUUUUAUCAUUGGUCAUAAGUAGAACAUCAUCCAUUUAUAAAACAAUGAAAAAAAGUCUUACUCCCACUGAUUUUUCUGGUAUAUGCAUUGAUCUAUGAUGUUCUCUUCAAGUCCAAAAAAUAAAUUACAUAAUGGAAUUUAAAGUACCAUUGUUGGGAUGCUUGUUUUAAACCAUAUGGAUUUCUUGAGCUUGCAAACCAGAUGUUCAUCAUCACUAAAGGAGAAUCAUUCAGGUUGUUUCAUGUAAACCUCCUCCUCUAGAUCUCCAUUGAGAAAUAUAAUUUGCACAUUCAUUCGUUGCAUUUUUAAGUCAAAAUAUGCUUUUAAUACCAAAAUAAUACAUAGAGAUUCUUUCUUAGAUAUAAGAGAGAAAGUCUCAUUGUAAUUAGUUCUUUCAUUUUGAAUGAAUCCUUUAGCAAGGAAUUUUGCUUUAUAUUGUUCAAUGUUGCCUAAUGAGUCUAUCUUUGUCUUAAAGACUCAUUUACAAUCAAUGAAUCUUGUAUUAUUAGGCAGCUCAACAAGAUCUUAGACUUUGUUACUCUUUAUAGAAUUCAUAUCUUCCUUUAUGGCAUUAUAUAAGAAUUAUGAUUCUUUGCAACUUAUGGCCAGUAAAACAAAUUCAUGAUUAUUUUUUGCUCCAAUGUUAUAGUCAGAUUCUUAUAUAUACAUAACAUAAUCAUUAUGAAUUGUUGAUCUCUUUAUUCUAAUGGAUCUUCUUAAAAAGUAUUUGGUUUAAUUGGUUAUUCAGAAAUUCUUGAUAAUGCUUGAACUACCUGAUCUACUGAAAUGUUGUUAUCAGUUUGUGGAACUUCAACAAUUAGUCUUUAGACCCCAUUUUGUAUUCUUGAACGAUGCUCUUAACAAUAACCAAUAUAUAACUUGAUGUGGAAGGUUGUAAUUCUAAAUGAUAUUUCUCAAAAACUAUGUUCCUGAAUUGAUUGCUCACACUUAUCAAGUCAUUUUCAGAAAACUUUGCAUUUCUUAAUUCCACAAUCCUAGUACUAUAAGAUGGACAGUAAAAUCUAUACUUUUAUACCUUUCAACAUAUGUAACGAAACACACACUAAUGGUCCUUGGGUCUGACUUCUUUUCUUGUGGAUUGUAAAUUCCUACUUUAGAUGGGCAUCCCUAAACACACAAAUGUCGCAAACUUGAUUUCCCACUACAAGAUUUCAUAGUUUUACCGACGGAUAUAUUCCAUCGGUGUGUGAUAGAACUUUCAUCGGUAAAGUAUUUACCGACUAUAUUACCGACGGAAUACUCCCGUCGGAAUACCUUUUGUCGGUGAUUCCACAUUCCGUCGCUAUAUCGGUCGGAAAUACAAAAAAAACUUUUACCGACGGUUUUACCGACGGACAGUGCGCGCCAAAAAAAAAGUUUCCCGCUUGGAAUAUACUGACGGAAUAUUUUCCGUCGGUGUUAUAAAAAUACCGACGGACUAACUCCGUCAGCAAAAGUGUCGGUGAUAUUUUAUACCGACCGAAUAUUUCCGUCGGUAAAUUUAUACCGACGGAUUUGUUCCGUCGGUGAUGGUGGUAGACACUGUCCAAUGCCGACGGAGUUUUUCCAUCGGUAAAUCCCUGUGUAAUUGUUUUUUUUUAAUUGUUUUGAAAAAAUAAUAUAAAUUAAUGGUAAUACAAACCAAUUAUGCAAAUAAAAUUUAUAUUAAGCAACAAAAACUCAAUUAGACACAUCUUUCUAGCCAAAUUAAGUUAUUUGAAAAGCACAUGUUCACCUUUAAUUCAAUUUAAGUUUUUUUAAAAAAAUAUUAAUAAUCUUAUUUUUUAUGUUAGAUUUGUUUUUAUAUAUCAGUUUUUUUUUAAUAUGUUAAUUUUAAUUUCAUAAGUUAGUUUAAUUUACAUAUAAAAAAUUAUAUUUUAUUAAAUUACUUUUGACUCUCCCUAUCAAAUAAUCUGAGUUCCGCCCUGGGUAGAUCCAACGUCAAUUUAGCCAGGAGAUUGUUGAGAUGACAGAAUCCGAUGCAGAAGAAGUAGUUCAAAUCUCCAGAUUAAGUACAAGCAAAUUUCUAGCCUCACAUUCCUAGAAAGUAGAAACAAAAACUCUAAGCUUGUAACUUAAUGCACUGUCGGCAACCUCAUUUCAGACCAUGAAAGAGAAAACAAGAAGAAAAGAUUCCCAACAGGGUUUUGGCCAUAAAAUUAAAUAUAGCAGGUCCAUAAUAUUAUCAUCACAGACAGGACACCAUUAUUCUGAGUGCUAAAUCCAGUGGCAUCUCUAAAGCAAGACCUCAUAAAGAAAUACCAAGUUACAUGCAUAUGAAAUUCAUGGAAGGCUUAUGGGCAGUGACAUCUCCCAAAUCCUCACUACUGGGGAAGCUUAUUGAGUUUACAGUACAUGUAAUCCUUGAAUUUUUUGGUCUUGAACUUUGUAGGAUUGUCUUUGUUAAUGAAUUGAGGAAGAGGACCCACCACAAGCUCGCCGGGUGGCUCCAAGAAAACUGGCCAUGACAUUCUUGCCCUAUCUUUAGCCACCGUGGUUCGAUGCAAAGCAGCCUUGUACUUACCAUUGCUAAGGAUCUGCAUUCCAAUUGCCAAGUGUACAUGUAGUUGACAAAUUUUAAUAACCAUUAACACAAUAAGUCAAGAGAAAUUAUACAGAUAGCCUUUUAAAUGAUAGUGCCCAUGCAUCAUUAUUUUUUCUAAAUGUUUUGUGAAGAGUUAAUUCAUCACAAAAUUGAAACCAGUAAUAAUGAUCAUGUUGUUUCUAAAAUAAAUAUUUUGUAGUUGCAAAAAAAUAUAUUAAAAUGUUCUAAAAUUUUUGUAGUUAAUUUCAUGAGGAGACCGAUAGUCCUCGAACCCGCAUGUUAGUUUUUUUUUUUUUUUUGUAAAAUUAAUAUUAAUUCUAAAUUUCUAUAUGAUGAAAAGUAAAUUAUUCAUUCUAAAAUUAAAAAAUUCACAAGAAACAUUACUUUAUACCUAAAAAUAUCUAAGUAUUCGGAGAAAAUGAUGUAUCACAAAAUAUAGCCAUGUUGGGUAUGCUACGAGCUGUGUGCCCACACCCUUCUUUUGCCAUGAAUGAAGGAUGGACUCCUCAUAAAGGCUUCAUUAACUCAUCCUCCACUAAAUGACCUUGAAAAAAAAAAAAGAAUUCAAAUCUCUUCUUUAUGAUUAACUAAAGAAAAAGGAAAAGAAAAACUUAACAUUGUCUCAUAUAUUUCCAAGAUUGAAAUUUAUUUGAUUUGUUGUUAGAAAUGGAAAAGAAAGAAAAACAAAAAAGAUAGCUAGGAGUCCAAUGAGAACAAACAAGAAUAGAGAAUGCAAUAAAAUAACUAAAAGAAAAAUUGAGUGAAAAAUCAAAUAAAGGGCUAGGAAAAUUACCUCAAUUUGAUCACCAAUGUGAAUGAUCAAGGCAUCAGGAAUGUACUUAGCUUCAAUCCAAUGGUCAUCCUUGAAGAUUUGCAAUCCAGGGACCUCAUUAGGCACAAGUAUGGUGAUGGCAGAUAGAUCAGUAUGAGCCUCUACCCCAAGUGUUAGGUCUGGACGUGGGCAUGGCGGAUAGUAAUUUAUUUUGAGCAUGUAUUCAAUUUGUUCACCUCCAGCAGCUUCUUUCAACACAUGCCCUUCGAGCCCUAACCCUAAAGAGAGGGUUGUGAAUAGCUUAUCUACCACUUU